This 2889-nucleotide ribosomal RNA is filed under the name Menoidium gibbum. RNAcentral describes it as "SSU rRNA". The stretch from base 493 to 2889 matches the Rfam family "Eukaryotic small subunit ribosomal RNA". The record is from RNAcentral. Lineage: Eukaryota; Euglenozoa; Anisonemea; Natomonadida; Astasiidae.
UUUCAAGGACUAAGCCAUGCACGUGUGAGAGCACGCGGCCUUGCUGCACAACCUGUCUGCGAAUGGCUCAUUAGACCAGCAAGAAUCUCUGCAGGGAGUGCUUCCGUCCCCUCUUGGGGGAACGUGUGAUGGGAGACGGGGACUCCCCCCCUUCGGGGGAGGAGGGAAAGCCCCGGGCCCUGUGCCUCUUCUGCGUCCUGAGAUUGCGGGAAGAGCGCGGGCGCCAUUGUGCUCCCUUCUGGCCGUCGGUGGAACACCUCUCUUUCUGAAACAGUUGGCUAAUACAUGUGGGGAAGGUGAGCAGGCCCUCCUUUCCAUUCCUCCUCUUCUCUUCUGGGAUGAGAGAGGGAUGCGAGGGGAUCCACUGGGCUGAAACAAAGAAGGAGCCUGCCGCCCUCCCCCACUGUGGGGGGCCAUCUCUGCGGAGGUGGAACCAAGCCUUCUGUGGAGGAUGCCAUGAGAGGGAGGUCCCGCCGAGAGGCGGAACGGCGUUCCCCCGCGCGACGGGCCAGCAUACGCGACCUCGAGAGGGGCUGAUGCCACUGCCACGGGAAUGCGCUAGUGGGGAGACCUGCGAAGCUACCCCACUACCCUGCUCGGAUUUCUGCCCUAUCAGCCCCGGAUGGCGGUCCCCGGGCCCACGGUGGCGAUAACGGGUAACGCGGAAUGAGGGUUCGAUUCCGGAGAGGGAGCCUGAAAUACGGCUACUACAACCAAGGUUGGCAGCAGGCGCGCAAAUUGCUCAAUAUCAGUGUGCAUUGGUGAAGCAGCGACGAGGAGUGCUACCUGUAUCCGGUUAGAUUGAUCGGGACUGGUGGAAUGAAUGAGGACCCAAGGAAUGCAGUGAGCAUCCACUUGUGGGCCAGUCUGGUGCCAGCAGCCGCGGUAAUUCCAGCACAAGUGGCCUACUUUGACGUUGUUGCUGUUAAAAAGCUCGGAGUUGGUUGGCAUCCGAGACCCUGCCCGUGUCCGAAGCCCCGGGUGGGGUUCUUCCCCCCCGAGGCAGAAGCCGGUGCAGACUUGAGGUGCCGCCCUGGUCUUGGCCCUGCCCUCUUCCCGCUCCGCCGGUCGCCUGGGCCGCCGGGGGGGAGAGGAGCACGCGGGAAAUUCCCUGUGCUCUCUCUUCCUCCCCCGGUGGUUUUCUUUGCGCGGGAGUGGGAGAAGUGGAGGGGAGGUGCCGGGACCGGGGGUUUUCAGUGGGAGCGAUUCUUCGAAGAGCAGGGGGCAGCGUUGGGGACCAUCCCCCCGCAGCGUCUGGAGCAGGGCCUGCCCUCUUCAGGCGACUCGUGGAUUCGGGGAUCCCUCGGCGCUCCCUCUCUGCAGAGAGUCUUCCUCUCUGCUUGUGGCCUACAUCCUGAAACCUUGCGGAGGGGCCGAGAGGUCGGCACCCAGAGAGCGUCUCUCCUCCCCCCGUUCGCGGGGGCAGUGGGAGGUUCUGGGGGCUGGUCUUGCAGGCCAAGGGAGACGCCCACUGGGCUUGUACCAUGAACAAAGCUGAGCGCUCCGAGCAGUUGCCCUUUCUGGCGAUCGGAUGUCCAAGCGUGGCAUGACAAGGGACCGGUCCAUUGGAUCCAAUGUUCUGGCAUUCUUUACUGGCCUAUUCUUGGACGAACUUCGCUUCCUCAUGGGACGUCCCCGUGGUUUCACCCAGCUCUGGGAAAGAGGGGGUGGGGAACGAGAGAACAGUCUCGGGCCUCGCCUCACCUGGAGCCCUUGGGCUGCGGGAAUGGACCAAGGGAACGAGGUGUUGACGGAGGUCGUUUCGGUGCUCAGGGGACUGGACGGCGAGCGGUGAAACGCUUUGACCCGUCUCAGGACCACCAGAGGCGAAAGCGCUGAGCGGGUCUCGACCAGCCAAUCAAGAGCGAGUGUGCGGGGAUCGAAGAGGAUCAGAUACCCUCGUAGUCCGCGCUGUAAACUGUGCCUACUGAGGAUGGGGGCAGUGUUCCUUCGGAAUGUCUGCCCCUGUCCUACCCCCCGCAACGAGAAAUCCAAGUGUAUGGGUUCAGGGGGGAGUACGGUUGCAAGACUGAAACUUAAAGGAAUUGACGGAAUGGCACCACAAGGCGUGGAGUGUGCGGCUUAAUUUGACUCAACACGGGGAACGUUACCUGGAUAGCACGUGGACAGGACAUGACAGGCUGAAGCACUCUCUUGAUAACUCGGCAAGUGGUGCAUGGUCGUUCUUGGUUGGUGAAGUGAUUUGUCUGGUUGAUUCCGAUAACGAGCGAGGUCUUCACCUUCCAGUAGCCAGGCUCUCGCUCGCUGUAGGGCUCACGACCUCCCUGGGCCUCGGCUUGGGGCUGGUCUGGCCCGGGAGUGGCGCGCGGUUGCUUCUCAGUGGGCUCGGGCACUUCGUCUUGGACUAAGUACCCACAGCCGGAAGCCGACAGCAGGUCUGUGAUGCCCUUAGAUGCCCAGGGCCGCACGCGCACGACAAUGCUGUUGUGAGCCUGUGGAAAGUCCCCUGUGGUAUCCGGCGGUGGUGGGGUGGGGCCGCUCUUCCCUUUCGAGUGUGGGAGAGGCUCUGCUCUGCUCUGCUGGGUGUCCACCGGAAUCCAGGAGUUCCCGUGGUUUGACGAUGAACUGGGAAAUCCCCAAGCUCACCGGACGUGAUUGGGGAUCGGUGCUUGCCACUGUUCGCCUUGAACGAGGAAUGCCCAGUAAGUGCAGGUCAUCAGCCUGCGCUGACUGCGUCCCUGCCAUUUGUACACACCGCCCGUCGUUGCUACCGAUGGCGCUGAGAUAGAGGCCCGAGGAGACUAGUAGCGGGUAAGGGCAGAGGACCGGGCCUCCGGGUUCGGCCCCUUCCCCCCUCGUGAACGAAGAAUUCGGCCAAUAUCUCAUUGCUGGAGGAAGCAAAAGUCGUAACAAGGUWGCUGUAGGUGA